This 813-nucleotide ribosomal RNA is filed under the name Pseudomonas putida. Its description in RNAcentral is "bacterial SSU rRNA". It matches the Rfam family "Bacterial small subunit ribosomal RNA", at positions 74 to 883 of the family's 1533-position model. Lineage: Bacteria; Pseudomonadati; Pseudomonadota; Gammaproteobacteria; Pseudomonadales; Pseudomonadaceae. The record is from RNAcentral.
GGGAGCUUGCUCCUUGAUUCAGCGGCGGACGGGUGAGUAAUGCCUAGGAAUCUGCCUGGUAGUGGGGGACAACGUUUCGAAAGGAACGCUAAUACCGCAUACGUCCUACGGGAGAAAGCAGGGGACCUUCGGGCCUUGCGCUAUCAGAUGAGCCUAGGUCGGAUUAGCUAGUUGGUGGGGUAAUGGCUCACCAAGGCGACGAUCCGUAACUGGUCUGAGAGGAUGAUCAGUCACACUGGAACUGAGACACGGUCCAGACUCCUACGGGAGGCAGCAGUGGGGAAUAUUGGACAAUGGGCGAAAGCCUGAUCCAGCCAUGCCGCGUGUGUGAAGAAGGUCUUCGGAUUGUAAAGCACUUUAAGUUGGGAGGAAGGGCAGUAAGCUAAUACCUUGCUGUUUUGACGUUACCGACAGAAUAAGCACCGGCUAACUCUGUGCCAGCAGCCGCGGUAAUACAGAGGGUGCAAGCGUUAAUCGGAAUUACUGGGCGUAAAGCGCGCGUAGGUGGUUUGUUAAGUUGGAUGUGAAAGCCCCGGGCUCAACCUGGGAACUGCAUCCAAAACUGGCAAGCUAGAGUACGGUAGAGGGUGGUGGAAUUUCCUGUGUAGCGGUGAAAUGCGUAGAUAUAGGAAGGAACACCAGUGGCGAAGGCGACCACCUGGACUGAUACUGACACUGAGGUGCGAAAGCGUGAGGAGCAGACAGGAUUAGAUACCCUGGUAGUCCACGCCGUAAACGAUGUCAACUAGCCGUUGGAAUCCUUGAGAUUUUAGUGGCGCAGCUAACGCAUUAAGUUGACCGCCUGGGGAGUAC